GAUGAACGCUAGCGGCAGGCUUAAUACAUGCAAGUCGAGGGGCAGCACGGUUAGCAAUAACUGGUGGCGACCGGCGCACGGGUGCGUAACACGUAUACAAUCUACCUUAAACAGGGGGAUAGCCUUUCGAAAGAGAGAUUAAUACCCCGUAAUAAAUUGAACGGCAUCGUUUGAUUUUGAAAGCUCCGGCGGUUUGAGAUGAGUAUGCGUCUGAUUAGCUAGUUGGUGAGGUAACGGCUCACCAAGGCGACGAUCAGUAGGGGAUCUGAGAGGACUAAACCCCCCACAACCUGGUACUGAGACACGGACCAGACUCCUACGGGAGCAGCAGUAAGGAUAUUGGUCAAUGGAGGCAACUCUGAACCAGCCAUGCCGCGUGC
Molecule: ribosomal RNA, 380 nt
Filed under: uncultured bacterium
Lineage: Bacteria
Description: bacterial SSU rRNA
Rfam family: Bacterial small subunit ribosomal RNA
Source: RNAcentral